UGGGGAAUAUUGGACAAUGGGCGCAAGCCUGAUCCAGCCAUGCCGCGUGAGUGAUGACGGCCUUCGGGUUGUAAAGCUCUUUUGUCCGGGAAGAUAAUGACUGUACCGGAAGAAUAAGCCCCGGCAAACUUCGUGCC
RNAcentral lists this ribosomal RNA (137 nucleotides) under uncultured bacterium. RNAcentral describes it as "partial 16S ribosomal RNA". It matches the Rfam family "Bacterial small subunit ribosomal RNA", at positions 355 to 509 of the family's 1533-position model. The record is from RNAcentral.